Molecule: ribosomal RNA, 253 nt
Filed under: uncultured bacterium
Lineage: Bacteria
Description: partial 16S ribosomal RNA
Rfam family: Bacterial small subunit ribosomal RNA
Source: RNAcentral
AACGUAGGAGCCUAGCGUUAUCCGAAUUUACUGGGCGUAAAGCGCGUGCAGGCGGCUUCGUAAGUGGAUUGUGAAAUCUCCCGGCUCAACUGGGAGGGGACGGUCCAGACUGCGAGGCUGGAGGCAGGGAGAGGGAGGUGGAAUUCCCGGUGUAGUGGUGAAAUGCGUAGAGAUCGGGAGGAACACCAGUGGCGAAGGCGACUACCUGGCCUGUUCUUGACGCUGAGGCGCGAAAGCUAGGGGAGCAAACGGG